This is an RNA transcript of Leucoraja erinaceus (little skate), 5796 nucleotides long. It is a transcript of the gene named KH domain-containing RNA-binding protein QKI, with no coding region annotated. Lineage: Eukaryota; Metazoa; Chordata; Chondrichthyes; Rajiformes; Rajidae. The transcript has 8 exons. The record is from RefSeq and is a predicted model, not a curated record.
GCUCGCGCGUCACAUGACCAAUUCAAUUCCUUCCUCCAACUGCCUUCCCCGAGGCUGUGACGGCGUCCGAGGGUUGAACUCGAGCCCGAGCCAUUGGAGAGCCGUUAGUGCGCGAGCGGCUGUGGCAGUGUUGAGCAAAGAUACUGAGGCGCCGCGCCUUGUGGAGCACAGCCCGAUUCGCAGCCCUCCCGCAGGACCAGAACCAACAGACGGACAAAAAUAAAACCACCAAAACAAAAAUAGAGAGAGAAGCAAGCAAACCCACAGAAGGAGAGGAAGGAGGGAGGGAGGGAGGAAGGGGGAAAAUAAAUUCCAGAGAGUCUUGCAACGCCAGAACUUUCCUGAGCUCGCGCGCGCGCGCGCGCGUGUGUGUGUUCUGGGGAAGGGGGGAAGUUUGUUGGAAUAUGGUUGGGGAAAUGGAAAAUAAGGAGCGACCAAAACCGACCCCAGACUAUCUCAUGCAACUGAUGAACGACAAGAAGCUGAUGAGUAGCCUGCCCAACUUCUGCGGCAUUUUCAACCAUCUGGAGCGGUUGCUGGACGAAGAGAUCAGCAGAGUGCGGAAAGAUAUGUACAACGACACAUUAAAUGGCAGCACAGAGAAAAGAAGUACAGAAUUACCAGAUGGUGUGGGGCCUAUUGUACAAUUACAAGAGAAACUGUAUGUGCCUGUUAAAGAAUAUCCAGAUUUCAACUUUGUUGGAAGAAUUCUUGGACCCAGGGGACUAACAGCAAAACAGUUGGAAGCGGAGACUGGAUGCAAGAUUAUGGUGCGAGGGAAGGGCUCAAUGAGGGACAAGAAGAAGGAGGAGCAAAACAGAGGCAAACCCAACUGGGAACACCUGAAUGAAGACCUGCAUGUAUUAAUCACUGUGGAAGAUGCACAGAACAGAGCAGAAAUCAAGCUAAAGAGGGCAGUGGAGGAAGUUAAAAAGUUACUUGUACCAGCAGCAGAGGGAGAGGAUAACCUUAAGAAGAUGCAACUGAUGGAAUUAGCGAUACUGAACGGCACUUAUAGAGAUGCCAACAUCAAAUCACCUGCCCUUGCCUUUUCUCUUGCAGCGACAGCCCAAGCUCCACGGAUCAUUACAGGGCCCACGUCAGUUCUUCCACCAGCUGCUUUGCGAGCCCCCACGCCAGCUGGUCCAACUAUCAUGCCUCUAAUUAGGCAAAUUCAGACAGCAACAGUCAUGCCUAAUGGAUCCCCACAUCCAAAUGCAUUAGUGCCUCCCGCACCUGAAGCCGGUCUAAUCUAUACUCCUUACGACUACCCGUACACACUGGCACCAGCUACUUCCAUCCUGGAGUAUCCCAUUGAGCCGAGUGGAAUUUUAGCUUAUAUUGGGCUGGUCAAUGCUGGUGGUUCCAUUCAGAACGGCGAGGGCUUACCCAUUUAACCUGCAGUAAGUCUGGGACCUCUGUGCAAGUGCAUUAGGUGGCAGAGUGAAAGGUAUGGCAUUCCCAACGAAAGGCUAAGAAUUCAAGGACCCAUGUCACUGAAACCCUCAUCAGAUCUGAACUUUAACAAAUGCUUAGUUUCACAGCAGCCAUGGACAAAAUAUGCCGGGCCUGACUGUCAGUGAGAUGCUAGCAUUAUGUGCGUGUGUAUGUGUACGUGUGAGUGUGUGUGCGUGUGUGCACGCAUCACAUUUGGAAACCAGUUGGGUCAAUUAGUUAUGAUUCUGGCCUAGUGCUCUUCCUAUCAUUUUGUUCCAUCUAUCCCAGAGGAAGCACAUUCAGUGUGUUUCAUUGCCUGCUUGGUGUAGGGUAUUUGCUUUAUACAUCACCUAAUUCAUUGCAAUUUGUAGCUAGUCGCUUCUGAGAUAAGCGUGUAUUUUUUAGGUCAUGCAAUUGCUGCAAAAAAUUUUAAAUUUGUAGAGGUUUUAUUUUAAAAAAAGAACUGAUGUCAAUAUAGAUUCAGUGUUAUGAAUUAAAACGUAUUUCUCUGCAAGGUGCACUCCACUGAUUAUGUGACUAGUAAAACUUAAUUAUGCUUGCAUCUAAUUAAGUAAUCUCAUUUCAUAUGGUGGGAUUUUUAACAAGUGGAUAACGACAGUGGGUUAAGUCUAUGUCUUUUGAAACGGAAUGCAAUAUUAACAUGCACAGUUGUACUCAAUUAAGUAAUUUCUGCUUAAAAUGUUCGAGUUAUAAAGGUGCUGUGCCUUAACCUGUUUUUUUAACUGCUACCAUGCUGUAUUUUCUAAUGUAAAUCCAUCUUUGAUCUGCUGUUGAAAUGCUAUUAAUAUGUUAACCAAUCACUUCCUAGGAAAUUCCUCUAACCAUGUGUUGCAAAUGUUGCAAUUUAACUAGGUGCAGUGGCUACUAAAGUUCGAAGGCGCGAUAUGCGGGUCCUUCCUUAUCAAAGGAUUGUGACCAUAGACAGAGGUUAGUUUAGUUCUGGAGUUCUUGUUUUUUGUCGAACAUGUUGACUGAAAGGGUGCUGCUUUGCAAAAUCACAUAAGGUGGGGUUGUCCAAUGGUCUACUUUCUGAGGACCAGUUCUGUCCACUUUUAUUCAACCAAAUACCACUGUGCCCAACGACUCCGAAGAUUUUUGUGGCAAAGCUUUGUUGGAACUUCCGAAUGUAAUUCCUCACAUUGGACAGGGGUGAUAGAGAAGUAUUUGAGGCUGGAGAAAAAGAAUAUUGGUGUUCCUAUCCUGCUUGGUAAGACUGAUGAACAUUGAGGGGCAUGUUCUAACGGCCUUUGCUUGUUUAUAUGGGGGGACGGGGGGGGGGGGGGGGGGGGGGGGGGGGGGGGGGGGGGGGGGGGGGGGGGGGAGAAUGUGUUCAUUUAUUUUAAAAGUAGUCAAAUCCAAAAAUAUUUUUCAAACUAUGCUUCUGAAAGGACCAAAUCCUUUUCAUUGAAGAAACUCUGAAUUGUGCCUUUAUAAUCUUCAGUGGAAUAUGAAUUUUAUACACUAUUGUACCUGAUUCUUAUUGAUGCUUUUUGGGGCAUCCAUGUACUUUUUAUACCUGCAUUGGACCCAUCAUACCUAUACAGUCGGGUCAACAUUUUAUCUUUGUAGUUAUUUUGGAAUUUGCUCCCCAUAAUGCACUCAGAAGGUCUUAACAGGGAUCGGUGUUCAUUUUCCCAGCCUAACUCUUGCCAUAAUUAUGUGCCCUUAGACCUGUCAGUGGAAAAACAUAUAAAUUAUUAAUAUAUUUAGGCUCACAAACACACCAUGUUCUUAGUUUUCAUUGAUAUCAUUGCAUUCAGCAAACUCCCAGGAAUUAAAAUUCUUGCCCAUUUUUUAUGAAAGGUUAGACACAAAACCAAGUGAAAUAUCAGUAUUUAGUCACCUUUCUUUUCCUGACAACAUAUGGAACUGCUCCCCUUAGCCCCGCUGUCCCAUGCAUAUAUUUGUUUUCUGGAUCCAAAUUGUUUCCAUUAACUGACCCCCUUUGUUUUAUGUGGGGAAAUGUGCUAUUUUAUGUGCACUUUAAGUUUUAAGAGAGAUCGUGUCUAACUGGGGAGUGAGAGAGGGAAGUGAGAGGAAGGGAAGAAGGAGCAGCAGUGGCGUGGAAGGAUUAAUAUGAUAUGGAACUGGAUCUGGCCACAAUCAAUAAACUAACAGACUAAAAGUUUGUUCAAGGUUCCAGUCUCUGCAGUCCCUUGUCUCGCCUAACUAAAAGGCAACCUCCUCUUGCAUAUUAGCUUCCCAAUGACUAUACAGGCCUACAAGCCUCAACUGGAUUUAUGAGCUGCUAAAUCAGCUGUGCAUCCCCAACACUGAGAGGGAGGGGGAGGUGGUGCUGAUGUUUUAACAGCAUGCAUGUGGAGAAUAACUUGAAUCUUCGCACCCAGACCCAGGAAUCAAAAGCUGUGUCAGGAUACAAUCCUGCAGUUACUGGGUUUAGGCAAAAGACAUUGAUAAUGCUGCAGCUCUCACUACUUUACAUAAUGGAGACAUUUUUUGCACUUAAUCCAGAGAUUAUUUUCAAGACACCAGAGCUCAGGUAAUUUCUGUAAAUUAUCAAAGAAUUCCCAGAAAUGCCAGCGAGCAUCCAUACCAUUAGAAAGUCCCAUUCAGAUCUGCAUGAUGUGUCGAGAACCUAACUUAUCUCUUUAAAUUUGGCCCCUAAUUUAUUCAUGAUCUUUUCAAAGCUAGUGUCUACCAACCAGGUCUAAGGGACUUCCAUAUUUGAUAUAAUACGUUUAAAUAGACGGUUCCCUUCCUUUGCAUAGGAUUAUAAGUCUCUUAUGUAUGCAUUUUGCAACAGAGAAAAAUAUACUUUCCAGUUGAUUUAGAUGUAUUACCUUUAACUAAUUAUUUAGGUUAGGUGAUGGGUUAAUGACUGCAUCAACCUUUACAGCAAAGAAAAUGACCCUGCAGUGUAACUUUACAGUAAUGUAUUUGGUACAGAUAACAAGAUAGACUGACUGAAGCAAUUGGAAUAAACUCCACAUUGUGUUGCACGAUUAUUGAACCUGUGUGUACUGUUAGGACCCUUGGACUGGGCAGAGGAUCUGUAGCGGGUGUAUUGGUUGAUUAGAGAUCAUACCCAUUUUGUUGGUCCUUACAGGCUGUAUAAUUUAUGUCAAGUAAACACAUAUAUGUGUUUCAUUUUCCCUGAGCACAUUGCAACAUAAAUUAAAUUACUAUUGCAAAGGAUUUUAUUUUCUUGAGUUUUUGGGAAGAAAAACAAUUGCAACAGUAAGCAAGUCUUUGAAUGUAAAGAGAUUAUACAGGCAUCAAUCCGUUCUUGAUUUUAACAAGUACAUUGAAAGAACUGGCAUCAUAGUAUUAUGUUUUGUUUCAUCAUGACCUCAGCUGCUAAUGUAUUUGGAUAUUGUGACAGGAUCAGUGUCUGACUCCAGGCAGUUUCAUCUCCCUGGCCUUGCAUUGGCUCUUGGUGGGUAAUGCACUCUUUUUUUUAACCCACUAUCAUGGGCAAAUGUGCUGUUCUUCAAUCCUGUAAUCUGUUCCUUUUUAUCCUAAAGAAGAUGAGGUCUAAAAAUGAGAGAGCAUGACCACAACACGGGAAAUAUAUACAGCCAAAUCUAUAUGCCAUCAAAAGGGUUGCUAUUAUUAAGCAUUACACUGGCCUUACCUUGCUAAAAUGGCACAAAUUUGACUUUGCACUGAAUAAUUUAUUUCAUUUCCUCUGUUUAUGCCUUGUGGCCAACAGUACAAUAUUUUGGAACCUCAGAACUUUGAUACAUGUUAAGCUGUUGAACAAAAGUCUUAUUUUACAUUUAAGUGGACCAAGUUGGGUAGAGAGAAUGGGGAGAAGAGUCAAAGAGAAACGGAAUGAUUCCAGAACACUGUGACUUAUCAUUUUCCACUUGAGAACUUUUGUUUUACUGUAAUCAUCUCCAUUUUUAAUUUUUUUGCAAAGAAAAUAGUAUUACAGGUGGCUUCUUUUAAAAAGUAUAAAAAUAUAAAGCAGGAAUGUAUAUGAAAAUGUCAGAUUUUAUUGUAUUUGCAGAGUAUUAGCAAUGAAAUUCAAAAAAGAGGGCUGUUUGUAGUUUAAAAUGUGCAUUGUAGCAUUCAGUAGAAAAUUCAUCUAUUUUUGGAUAUAUUUUAGGGCUUUAUAAAUGUAGACUUUUAAAACGGCAGGACUUCUUUUGUGUUUACAUGCAAAUGCAUUUUAUACAAGACUGUCCUAUAAGUGUACAGUAGUACUCAACUGGAAUAUGUUGGAUAAAGUAAAUUAAUUGGCCUCUUCCAAGUUCCCAUGAUGUAGCCUACACUGCUAGUCGUAUAAUUUAGAUUUGCUUGUAUUUUGAGGCCAAGAAUUUCAUAUUGUUGUAAAUAGAAGAAAUGAAAGGCAAUAAAAUUUUAUUGAACAAC